RNAcentral lists this transfer RNA (75 nucleotides) under Candidatus Peribacteria bacterium. Its description in RNAcentral is "tRNA-Glu". It matches the Rfam family "tRNA". From Rfam's summary of the family: Transfer RNA (tRNA) molecules are approximately 80 nucleotides in length. Lineage: Bacteria; Candidatus Peregrinibacteriota; Candidatus Peribacteria. The record is from RNAcentral.
GCUCCCAUCGUCUAGUGGCUAGGACGGGACCCUCUCACGGUCCAAACAGGAGUUCAAUUCUCCUUGGGAGUACCA